AUUUUUUCUUUUAUUGUAAAGGCAGUUUCUUGAGAAAUGUACUAAUUAUUGAGGGCAGCGUUUAAUACUUAGUGUUUCCUUUGAGAUAUCUCUGACUUUCCAAAUAUGCGAUUUGAUUUCUUUUGCUACUAUGAAACCAAAUUAGACUUAUUUAUGUGAUUUAUUAUUUACUAAAUUAUAAAUCGCCGUGAUUUCUUAAAAUGGUUUCUUAAGUUGCAAAAAUUUAUACAGAGAACACGAAAGGAUCUUCUGCAAGAACUAGAUACGGGAGAGUUUUUCACUAUCCUGCAUAAAAGCUGUGAAGUCUACUUCCAAAAGUACUACUUUGGCAAGUCUCACAACUCUGUUCUCCAGGUUUUGUUAUUUUUUUUUUUCCUGAAGCAUAACAUGUAUUCUCUAAAGUGCACAAAUCUUAAAUGUGCAGCUGGACAAAUGUGAGCAAAAUGACCACACCUGUGUAUCUGCCAGCCAGAUCAACAUGCACACCCUCAGGAGAAUGACCACGACCACUGUGAUUACAGCCACCACCCUCAAAGUUUACUCAGGUCACUGUUGGCAAGUCUUACCACAUGGAAAAUAUUCAACAGUUCCCAUCAGCUCAUAACCUCAAGGAAAUCUGUGGGGUUCACUCAUGAAAAUCUGCCUGGACACCAUACAAAGGAUUUCCAUUCUCCCAGGCUCCACUUGGUAUUGUAUGGAGAAGCUGACCACAUAAAACCCUUCUGCUCUGAGAUACCCUAGUUGUUCUGAGGAUUUCUGAUACUUUUCUCCUUCCCCUGGAAUAUAACCUAGGAUUCUUUCCAUGGUAUUUAUCCACCUUAAAUGAUUUAUUCUAACCGGUUCCCCUAUUUUGUCUUGAGGAUGAUUUUCAGUUAGAUUAAUAUUUUUUUCUUUUAUAGAGUCAUGGAUUUUACCUCUUGAGUCCUUUAGCACCUAUACUCUUUCAAUAAAAAAUUUAAGUUGAGGUUUAUAAAAGUUCUU
This 981-nucleotide long non-coding RNA is filed under the name Oryctolagus cuniculus (rabbit). RNAcentral's name for it is "lncRNA (ENSOCUG00000038394.1)". Lineage: Eukaryota; Metazoa; Chordata; Mammalia; Lagomorpha; Leporidae. The record is from RNAcentral.